Molecule: long non-coding RNA, 797 nt
Organism: Neopsephotus bourkii (Bourke's parrot)
Lineage: Eukaryota; Metazoa; Chordata; Aves; Psittaciformes; Psittacidae
Exons: 3
Source: RefSeq, a predicted model, not a curated record
AUCCCCACGUUUUCCUGCCAUGGAUGAUUGUACUCUGCAUUCCAAGUGGUCACAGAUAAAUCUAGUUGUAUUCUAGAAAUAGUGGCAAAACUCCAACAUUUCUCUAGUUCCAAACGAAUGCUCAGAAACCCAGUGGUCUUUCGCAUACCUAUUUCCCAGUCCCAGCAGGUAUUAGACUCCUACCUGUAUGCUUAUGAUGCUACUAUGGAUUUUUCACAGUGCUUUCCUCAGGAGUGUGUCCAUUUCGUUGCCUGGAGGUGUUUCUGUUUCGACAGGAGACACUGAGAUUGAACAUCCUUCUGUUGUCCUCACUUUAAGAGAUGAAACAGCUUUGAGAGCAUAUGUCUGAUCCCACAUCCACCGAGACACUUGAUGAUUAGCCGUUUCAUAAGAUCAACCCAGAUUUUAUUUACCAGAUUCAGAUAUCAAGUAACUUCACUGAAACUGAACCUGAACAGUUGAAGAACGCAAGCCAACAGCAUGAAUCAAGCAUAAUUAAGAGCAGAAUUUAGCCUGAAAGGUUGCAUGUAAGAUGACACGCAUUGCUGCGGCAGCACACUGAUGUCACACACACACAUAGAAGUUUUUGCUUUCUUCCUGCACCAAUGAGAAGAUCCUUGAGUUGUGAAAAAGAAAGCAAUCAUUCAGGAGCAAAUAUUGAAAUCAGUGAUGGAACAGUGUGGAGAAGACACAGUGUUACUGAGCAAGUAGAUUGCAGUUCAUGUUACUGGUGCUUUUUGAACCUUUGCUCCUGUACUAAGCUCUUUCUUCAAGAAAAGUAACAUGAAAGACAAAGC